UGCAGUCGGACGGCAGCGCGGGGGCAACCCUGGCGGCGAGUGGCGAACGGGUGAGUAAUACAUCGGAACGUGUCCUGGAGUGGGGGAUAGCCCGGCGAAAGCCGGAUUAAUACCGCAUACGCUCCAUGGAGGAAAGCGGGGGAUCUUCGGACCUCGCGCUCAAGGGGCGGCCGAUGGCGGAUUAGGUAGUUGGUGGGGUAAAGGCCUACCAAGCCGACGAUCCGUAGCUGGUCUGAGAGGACGACCAGCCACACUGGGACUGAGACACGGCCCAGACUCCUACGGGAGGCAGCAGUGGGGAAUUUUGGACAAUGGGGGCAACCCUGAUCCAGCAAUGCCGCGUGUGUGAAGAAGGCCUUCGGGUUGUAAAGCACUUUUGUCCGGAAAGAAAUCAUUCCUGUUAAUACCGGGGGUGGAUGACGGUACCGGAAGAAUAAGCACCGGCUAACUACGUGCCAGCAGCCGCGGUAAUACGUAGGGUGCGAGCGUUAAUCGGAAUUACUGGGCGUAAAGCGUGCGCAGGCGGUGAUGCAAGACCGAUGUGAAAGCCCCGGGCUCAACCUGGGAACUGCAUUGGUGACUGCAUCGCUGGAGUAUGGCAGAGGGGGGUGGAAUUCCACGUGUAGCAGUGAAAUGCGUAGAGAUGUGGAGGAACACCGAUGGCGAAGGCAGCCCCCUGGGCCAAUACUGACGCUCAUGCACGAAAGCGUGGGGAGCAAACAGGAUUAGAUACCCUGGUAGUCCACGCCCUAAACGAUGUCAACUGGUUGUCGGGCCUUCAUUGGCUUGGUAACGAAGCUAACGCGUGAAGUUGACCGCCUGGGGAGUACGGUCGCAAGAUUAAAACUCAAAGGAAUUGACGGGGACCCGCACAAGCGGUGGAUGAUGUGGAUUAAUUCGAUGCAACGCGAAAAACCUUACCUACCCUUGACAUGUACGGAAUUCUGCCGAGAGGUGGAAGUGCCCGAAAGGGAGCCGUAACACAGGUGCUGC
RNAcentral lists this ribosomal RNA (993 nucleotides) under Burkholderia sp. RNAcentral describes it as "bacterial SSU rRNA". It matches the Rfam family "Bacterial small subunit ribosomal RNA", at positions 56 to 1044 of the family's 1533-position model. Lineage: Bacteria; Pseudomonadati; Pseudomonadota; Betaproteobacteria; Burkholderiales; Burkholderiaceae. The record is from RNAcentral.